This 1638-nucleotide ribosomal RNA is filed under the name Triticum aestivum (bread wheat). Its description in RNAcentral is "partial small subunit ribosomal RNA". The record is from RNAcentral. Lineage: Eukaryota; Viridiplantae; Streptophyta; Magnoliopsida; Poales; Poaceae.
AUGUCCAAGGCGCAGCUGAACCAGCUGUGCCAGCAGCGGCGGUGGCCGGCGCCGGACUACACCCACCGGAGCGAGGGGCCGGCCCACUCGCUGAGGUUCCGCGCCACCGUCACCGUCAACGGCGAAGUGUACCACUCGCCGGACGACGACGACGGGUUCAGCACGGCCAAGGAGGCGCAGAACCUCGCCGCCAAGGCCGCCUUCGAGCGCCUCUCCGCCCUCCCGCCCCCUCCCCCGCCGCAGUCCGAAACCCAACUUCCCUACAAGUCUCAGUUGCAAGUUCAUGCUCAGAAGAGACAUAAAGAUUUGCCUUCAUAUGACACCAUUCGAAGUGGUCCACCUCAUGCACCUCUGUUCAGGUCUACAGUAACCAUAGAUGGGCGCAAAUUUGAAAGUCCUCAAGACUAUCACACAACAAAGGAGGCAGAAUUUGCUGCUGCAAGAGUGGCUUUAAUGUCAUUGUGUCAAGAAGCAAACCCAUCAGAGCAAAUGCCGGUUGGAUCAGCUUCAUGUAUUUCUUUGCCUGGAAUCCAGAUUAAUCAUAAGCUUCAAUUGCAAAUGUAUGCUCAGAAGAGAGGAAAACAACUGCCUUGGUAUGACCGUAUCCAGGAAGGUCCAUCUCAUGCACCUCGGUUCAAGUCAAUAGUGACCAUAGAUGGGCAAACAUUUGAAAGCCCACAGUAUUGUCAUACAAUUAAGGAGGCGGAAUAUGCUGCUGCAAAUCUUGCUCUGGUGUCCUUAGCCCAAGAAGUUCAAGGAAUGCAAUAUACAAAUCCCCGGCAUGAAUUAGCUGAGAAAGAAGGCUCUUCCUUGCCUGUCUGUAAUACUUCAUCAGAUAAUUUAAAAGAUUCCUCCAUCUCCAAAUCAACUGUACACACUCAAGGCGAAAGUUUUCAGGAGGGACCUGGUAACAAUAAGAAGCAAAAACAGAUGACGGUUGCUGCUUUUCAACCUUCCAAAGACACUGAGCAUGAUUCUUGCUCUGUUGGCUCCCGUAUUUAUCUUCCUGUUGCUGACAAAACACAAUCUCUUGAUGAACCUAUCAAAUCUGGCAGUAUGGAAAAUGUUAAACCAGCUGCUCCAGAGCCAAGCAUCAAGGCUGAAGUAAUCGACUUGACACAAGAAUGCAGGUCACCCCCGUUAGUUUCAGUGCCACCAACUGAUAUGCUCAACCUUGUGGCAACAACAAGUACAGUGCCUGUUGCUUUACAAUCUCCUGUUGAAACUAUCCAACCUGUCAAGAUGGAAAAUGAUAAACCAGCCAUUCCAGAGCCAAGCACCGAAGCUGAAGUAAUGGACGUUGCAGAACCAAGUGCUGAGGCUGAAGGAAUGGACGUUGCAGAACCAAGCGCUGAGGCUGAAGUAGACGUUCCAGAGCCAAGCAUCGAGGAUGAAGUAAUGAACUCAACUUCAGAACACACAUCUCUCCCCUUGGGCUCAAUGCCACCAACCAAUACUUCCAGCCUUGCGGUGAAAGCAACUGCAGUGCCUGUUGAUUCUGCCCGAUGCAGUUACUCGAUGUCAACUAACCGAAUCCAGAUCUACCCAUGCCGUCCUGACCUGAAAUUACCAGAGGGGGCGACCGUGCUUCCCUUUAGUGACGACAAGUGGGUGGCCGUGAGCUUACCUUUACCUUGA